Molecule: long non-coding RNA, 349 nt
Filed under: Setaria viridis
Lineage: Eukaryota; Viridiplantae; Streptophyta; Magnoliopsida; Poales; Poaceae
Description: long non-coding RNA (SVIR_LNC001179)
Source: RNAcentral
GAUGCCCAAUUACUUAACUACUGACAAGGAUAACUUACUUUGCAGUGUCUGUGAAAAUCAUCAUAUAACCAUUCAAGGUCCACGCAUACUGAUGAAAUCUUUUCAAUGGCGCAUAAAAGACGGUUUUCUUCAAAUGUGUCAUCAAGGUCAAGAAUAAGCUCCUGGAGGAUUAACAAAGAACAUAAUAUUAAAAACUUGCGAAAAGCAAGAGAACAAAGUUACAAAUUCAUUAUAGGGCUAGAAAGAAAACCAGGUAGGAGUAUAUGAAGCUCCUGUAGAAACACUCCCCAUCUCCAAGGACUACACGAAAUGAUGAGUAGAAUUCCAAGAGUUUCUGUGCGACUGAUCC